AGUGAUGGCUCAGUGGCAGAGCGCUUGCCUGGUAUGCGUGAGGCACUGGGUUCGAGUCUCAGCACUG
This 67-nucleotide transfer RNA is filed under the name Ictidomys tridecemlineatus (thirteen-lined ground squirrel). RNAcentral's name for it is "Spermophilus tridecemlineatus (thirteen-lined ground squirrel) tRNA". It matches the Rfam family "tRNA". From Rfam's summary of the family: Transfer RNA (tRNA) molecules are approximately 80 nucleotides in length. Their secondary structure includes four short double-helical elements and three loops (D, anti-codon, and T loops). The record is from Rfam by way of RNAcentral. Lineage: Eukaryota; Metazoa; Chordata; Mammalia; Rodentia; Sciuridae.